UACGAAGGGUGCUAGCGUUGUUCGGAUUUACUGGGCGUAAAGCGCAUGUAGGCGGACCAUUAAGUUGGGGGUGAAAUCCCGAGGCUCAACCUCGGAAUUGCCUCCAAAACUGUUGGUCUGGAGCAGAAGAGAGGCGAGUGGAAUUCCGAGUGUAGAGGUGAAAUUCGUAGAUAUUCGGAGGAACACCAGUGGCGAAGGCGACUCGCUGGCUUCUUGCUGACGCUGAGAUGCGAAAGCGUGGGGAGCAAACAGG
This 253-nucleotide ribosomal RNA is filed under the name uncultured bacterium. Its description in RNAcentral is "partial 16S ribosomal RNA". It matches the Rfam family "Bacterial small subunit ribosomal RNA", at positions 524 to 776 of the family's 1533-position model. The record is from RNAcentral.